This 462-nucleotide ribosomal RNA is filed under the name uncultured bacterium. Its description in RNAcentral is "bacterial SSU rRNA". It matches the Rfam family "Bacterial small subunit ribosomal RNA", at positions 339 to 796 of the family's 1533-position model. The record is from RNAcentral.
CUACGGGAGGCAGCAGUCGAGGAUCUUCGGCAAUGGGCGCAAGCCUGACCGAGCGACGCCGCGUGCGGGAUGAAGGCCUUCGGGUUGUAAACCGCUGUCAGGGGGGAUGAAAUCACAGUGGGUACUCCCAUUGUGUUGACAGAGCCCCAGAGGAAGCGCGGGCUAAGUUCGUGCCAGCAGCCGCGGUAAUACGAACUGCGCGAACGUUAUUCGGAAUCACUGGGCUUACAGGGUGCGUAGGUGGCAGAGAAAGUAGGGUGUGAAAUGCCUUGGCUCAACCAAGGCACAGCGCUCUAAACUCCUUUGCUUGAGUGAGUCAGGGGUGCACGGAACUUCCGGUGGAGCGGUGAAAUGUGUUGAUAUCGGAAGGAACACCGGCGGCGAAAGCGGUGCACUGGGGCUUAACUGACACUGAGGCACGAAAGCCAGGGGAGCGAACGGGAUUAGAUACCCUUGUAGUCC